This 254-nucleotide ribosomal RNA is filed under the name uncultured bacterium. RNAcentral describes it as "partial 16S ribosomal RNA". It matches the Rfam family "Bacterial small subunit ribosomal RNA", at positions 524 to 776 of the family's 1533-position model. The record is from RNAcentral.
UACAGAGGUCUCAAGCGUUGUUCGGAUUCAUUGGGCGUAAAGGGUGCGUAGGCGGCUCAGUAAGUCGGGUGUGAAACCUCCAGGCUCAACCUGGAGACGCCACCUGAUACUGCUGUGGCUAGAGUCCGGUAGGGGAGCGUGGAAUUCCUGGUGUAGCGGUGAAAUGCGCAGAUAUCAGGAGGAACACCAGUGGCGAAAGCGGCUUCCUGGUCCAGCACCGACGUUCAGGCACGAAAGCGUGGGGAGCAAACAGG